CUCUGUGAGAUAUUCCACUGUUAAAUUAAUGCACCUCUGUUUUUUGUAUUUUACAGAAUCACUCACAGUUACUGUGCAACUAUUUCGAUGUAGAGGAUACUUGCUGGAGAACGAACGGAUGUGAGACGUACAAUGUAACCGAUGACAAAGGAACAGGCAUCACUUGCAUCUGUAACCACACAACACCAUUCGCUGUCCUGCUGAUUAGAGAGCCAAUUGCAAAAAUCCACUGGGAGAUUCUGUCAUACAUCAGCUACAUCGGCUGCAGCCUGUCCGCCUUCUUUACUGCUUUGUCUCUUGUCAUUUAUGUCUUUGGUCGGUAUGUGCACUUAAAUUCUUAUGCAUUUGCA
Molecule: non-coding RNA, 350 nt
Organism: Labrus bergylta (ballan wrasse)
Lineage: Eukaryota; Metazoa; Chordata; Actinopteri; Labriformes; Labridae
Source: RefSeq, a predicted model, not a curated record